UAACUGAAGAGUUUGAUCAUGGCUCAGAUUGAACGCUGGCGGCAGGCUUAACACAUGCAAGUCGAGCGGGGGAAGGUAGCUUGCUACUGGACCUAGCGGCGGACGGGUGAGUAAUGCUUAGGAAUCUGCCUAUUAGUGGGGGACAACAUCUCGAAAGGGAUGCUAAUACCGCAUACGUCCUACGGGAGAAAGCAGGGGAUCUUCGGACCUUGCGCUAAUAGA
This 222-nucleotide ribosomal RNA is filed under the name Acinetobacter baumannii. RNAcentral describes it as "partial 16S ribosomal RNA". It matches the Rfam family "Bacterial small subunit ribosomal RNA", at positions 1 to 225 of the family's 1533-position model. The record is from RNAcentral. Lineage: Bacteria; Pseudomonadati; Pseudomonadota; Gammaproteobacteria; Moraxellales; Moraxellaceae.